AUUGAACGCUGGCGGCAUGCCUUACACAUGCAAGUCGAACGGCAGCACGGGAGCAAUCCUGGUGGCGAGUGGCGAACGGGUGAGUAAUAUAUCGGAACGUGCCCAGUCGUGGGGAUAACGUAGCGAAAGCUACGCUAAUACCGCAUACGAUCUAUGGAUGAAAGCGGGGGAUCGCAAGACCUCGCGCGAUUGGAGCGGCCGAUAUCAGAUUAGGUAGUUGGUGAGGUAAAGGCUCACCAAGCCGACGAUCUGUAGCUGGUCUGAGAGGGCGACCAGCCACACUGGGACUGAGACACGGCCCAGACUCCUACGGGAGGCAGCAGUGGGGAAUUUUGGACAAUGGGCGCAAGCCUGAUCCAGCAAUGCCGCGUGCAGGAUGAAGGCCUCGGUGUAAC
RNAcentral lists this ribosomal RNA (395 nucleotides) under uncultured bacterium. RNAcentral's name for it is "bacterial SSU rRNA". It matches the Rfam family "Bacterial small subunit ribosomal RNA", at positions 30 to 429 of the family's 1533-position model. The record is from RNAcentral.